Molecule: long non-coding RNA, 2299 nt
Organism: Branchiostoma floridae (Florida lancelet)
Lineage: Eukaryota; Metazoa; Chordata; Leptocardii; Amphioxiformes; Branchiostomatidae
Exons: 2
Source: RefSeq, a predicted model, not a curated record
ACUGCUAGACGUUUCUCAAGUGGUGCCUGUUUAAGGCCAUUUUAUUUGACAUGAGGUAAACUCCCUCCUUUGCUCCUGUAUGCUACAGUUCCUUUCCAACUGCUACAAUGUUGCACUGUAGGUCCUGUAUGCUACAGUCCCAGUCCAACUGCUAAGAGUGGCACUAGGUCCUGUGGCUACAGAUCCUGUCCAGCUGCUACAAUGUAGCACUGUAGGUCCUGUGGCUACAGUUCCUGUUCAGCUGCUACAAUGUAGCACUAUAGGUCCUGUGGCUACAGUUCCUGUUCAGCUGCUACAAUGUAGCACUAUAGGUCCUGUGGCUACAGUUCCUGUUCAGCUGCUACAAUGUAGCACUAUAGCUAUAGGUCCUGUGGCUACAGUUCCUGUUCAGCUGCUACAAUGUAGCACUGUAGGUCCUGUGUCUACAGUUCCUAUUCAGCUGCUACAGUGUAGCACUGUAGGUCGUGUUGCUACAGUUCCUCAUUUCUGAGUUGAGAAUAGAAAGUUGACUGCAGGUGAGACUGUACAAACAUGGCUAUGAGGCUACUUUCCAUUUAAUCUGCCUUAUCCAGGUAAAAGCUAGUUUCUUUUUUUUUUAAUUUUGCACAAAGUACCAUUUCAUUAUGAGACUUGGCUACGCCUAGCGGACAGGUUAUCGUGACCAAACCAGACGCAUCAGUGCUGCUGUCUAACCUGGUUCAGGGCAGGUAAAGGUGAACAUCAGACAGGUGUGCUGAAGUAUCACGGCCAGGUGAACAUCAGACAGGUGUGCUGAAGUAUCACGGCCAGGUGAACAUCAGACAGGUGUGCUGAAGUAUCACGGCCAGGUGAACAUCUGGGUACUUUCCUGCCAUAUGAAUCCUCAUAGCAUUCACUUGGAAGUUACCAUUUCUUACAGUCAGUGGAAGUUACCAUUUCUUACAGUCAGUAGGCACUUUUAGCUUUACUUCACAUACAAUUUUAGCACCUCCAGAACGGAAGUUGGUCCCAGCACCCCAGUGGGUGAGGUGUGGAAACUGUUGCGUAAAAUAUGAACAGUACAAGCCUUCUCCACAGUGUGUGGUACUUUACUUCUUGGGUUCUGCACACUUGGUCCUUAGGUCACCUUUAACCUGUCCUUAGUUCACCUUUAACCUGUCCUUAGUUCACCUUUAAGCUGUCCUUAGUUCACCUUUAACCUGUCCUUAGUUCACCUUUACCUGCCCUUAGUUGACCUUUAACCUGUCCUUGGUUGGUGGUUUCACACAAGUAUCUACCUUGGCAUAAGUUCAUGAUCAGCACCAUCAGCAUUUACAACUACAUUGUAGUGAUGUUUCAGUAAGAAACUGCAGACUAGUCUCUACAGGAGCUACAGUAAAAUGUACACAUCAGAUUUUUGGUUUCCUCCAUCAGACCUCUUCCACAUUCUCAUCUAUGUACAGUUACUAAAAUAAAGGUCUUCUCUUUUUGCAUAUUUUCCAUAAUUUUCAUCUGCUUCAUUUUAAAUAACAAAUUCCUGUCACAGAAACAAGUUUAGGUGAAAAAAACAGCCUAGCUUCCUACAAUUCACAUCCUUGUACAUGUGCUAAAACCUAGGGAGGACCAGCUAAAGCCCAUUGCAGAAACACAAGUAUAUGCAGUCAACAAUAUGCUGGCAAACUAGUACAAAAUAUGAAAUACAAAACAAUUGUAGACAUAAACACUUAAAGAAAUCUGAAUCCCUUCAUGCAUCUUAUCCCAUCUACACACAAAUUAAUUUGUUUCUUCAUUAUUUUUGCAUGUAAGUUUAAUUUACCUUGGCCAGAACAUUUCCUUGCAGGUUGGUGGGUAACAGUCAGACUACCCUCCCACUCCAGAACAAAGCACAGAAUUAUGCCAGAACGAUGGCUUCACAGCUCCGCUCAUGGGCAGAAAGGUUUUGUUUCCAUUCAACAAUUACCGAAUUUCUAAAGUAAUUCCAUAAUCUGUGAAAGGACAGGUCUUUAAAUACCAAAAGCUUAGGUUUUAGAAAAAGGACAACUAAGUUGUUUUGAAAACAGCUUUAGAAGAAAAAUGAAACUUGAGAACAGGCUACGGGUACUGGAGGCUGUGCCCUUGUAUAACAGCAUAUUUUCUGCAAAUUCUCCAAAGUUUUCCUUGCCAUGUCAUACAGGUGAACUUUCUGCAUGUUGCCAGUUGUACCUACAUUUUGUCACUUCAUGUUACCAGUUUUAGCAAACAGUGUAGCAAAAUACGUGGCAAGAGUCAUGAUUGCACAAACCUACAGAUGAGAAUUUGGAAAGUUCAGCUGUUUUCUGAGAACUUAGCGGAGCCCAAAAUU